This 440-nucleotide ribosomal RNA is filed under the name uncultured bacterium. RNAcentral describes it as "bacterial SSU rRNA". It matches the Rfam family "Bacterial small subunit ribosomal RNA", at positions 8 to 460 of the family's 1533-position model. The record is from RNAcentral.
AGAGUUUGAUCCUGGCUCAGAUUGAACGCUGGCGGCAUGCCUAACACAUGCAAGUCGAACGGGAGUAGCAAUACUCUAGUGGCGGACGGGUGAGGAAUACGUAGGAAUUUACCUUUAGGUGGGGGAUAGCCCAGGGAAACUUGGAGUAAUACCGCAUGAUCUCGUGAGAGCAAAGCAGGGGACCGCAAGGCCUUGCGCCUUUAGAGGAGCCUAUGUCGGAUUAGCUUGUUGGUGAGGUAACGGCUCACCAAGGCGACGAUCCGUAACUGGUCUGAGAGGACGAUCAGUCACACUGGAACUGAGACACGGUCCAGACUCCUACGGGAGGCAGCAGUGGGGAAUAUUGGACAAUGGGCGAAAGCCUGAUCCAGCAAUACCGCGUGUGUGAAGAAGGCCUUCGGGUUGUAAAGCACUUUAAGCAGGGAAGAAAAAAUUCAAGC